GAUGCUUUUCCAUUUACCUUCAAAUUGCUCAAAUAUAACUUUCAUAUAAAAAUUUACCCUAAUGGAAAAAUGACAAUUUUGCCAAAACUCUCGUUUUUCGAUUAAAAGUUUUUGCGCUGGCAAGAGGUGGUUUUUCGGGCGUAGCGCAAAUUGUAUAUGAUGCAAAACUGCAAUGGAAAGACUUUUUUCGGCAACUAGAGUCAUAUGAAU
This is a long non-coding RNA of Sphaeramia orbicularis (orbiculate cardinalfish), 210 nucleotides long. RefSeq lists it as uncharacterized. The record is from RefSeq and is a predicted model, not a curated record. The transcript has 2 exons. Lineage: Eukaryota; Metazoa; Chordata; Actinopteri; Kurtiformes; Apogonidae.